UAGGGAAUAUUGGGCAAUGGACGGAAGUCUGACCCAGCCAUGCCGCGUGCAGGAAGAAGGCCUUCUGGGUUGUAAACUGCUUUUAUCUAGGAAGAAAACGCCCAUGCGUGGGAAACUGACGGUACUAGAUGAAUAAGCACCGGCUAACUCCGUGCCAGCAGCCGCGGUAAUACGGAGGGUGCAAGCGUUGUCCGGAUUUAUUGGGUUUAAAGGGUGCGUAGGCGGCCCGUUAAGUCAGUGGUGAAAGCCUCCAGCUCAACUGGAGAACUGCCAUUGAUACUGGCGGGCUUGAGUACAGACGAGGUUGGCGGAAUUGAUUGUGUAGCGGUGAAAUGCAUAGAUACAAUCAAGAACACCGAUUGCGUAGGCAGCUAACUAGGCUGUAACUGACGCUGAGGCACGAAAGCGUGGGGAGCGAACA
RNAcentral lists this ribosomal RNA (421 nucleotides) under uncultured Adhaeribacter sp. Its description in RNAcentral is "bacterial SSU rRNA". It matches the Rfam family "Bacterial small subunit ribosomal RNA", at positions 355 to 774 of the family's 1533-position model. The record is from RNAcentral. Lineage: Bacteria; Pseudomonadati; Bacteroidota; Cytophagia; Cytophagales; Hymenobacteraceae.